RNAcentral lists this transfer RNA (64 nucleotides) under Chaetosoma scaritides. RNAcentral describes it as "tRNA-His". Lineage: Eukaryota; Metazoa; Arthropoda; Insecta; Coleoptera; Chaetosomatidae. The record is from RNAcentral.
AUUUAAAUAGUUUAAUAAAAAUACUAGUUUGUGGAACUGGAGAUAUAAAUAAUUAUUUUAAAUA